Molecule: ribosomal RNA, 206 nt
Filed under: uncultured bacterium
Lineage: Bacteria
Description: partial 16S ribosomal RNA
Rfam family: Bacterial small subunit ribosomal RNA
Source: RNAcentral
CGCGUAGGCGGUUUUGUAAGUCGGAUGUGAAAUCCCGGGCUUAACCUGGGAACUGCAUUCGAUACUGCAUAACUAGAGUGUGGUAGAGGGAAGUGGAAUUCCGGGUGUAGCGGUGAAAUGCGUAGAUAUCCGGAGGAACACCAGUGGCGAAGGCGACUUCCUGGGCCAAUACUGACGCUGAGGUGCGAAAGCGUGGGGAGCAAACA